This 893-nucleotide long non-coding RNA is filed under the name Elaeis guineensis (African oil palm). Its description in RNAcentral is "long non-coding RNA (EGUI_LNC025876)". Lineage: Eukaryota; Viridiplantae; Streptophyta; Magnoliopsida; Arecales; Arecaceae. The record is from RNAcentral.
UUGUCAUGUCACUGAAGAUAAUGGGGCAUUUACUAUUUAGAGCCCCUUUAAUGGCUUCCAAAUGCAAUAAGAGACCUAUCAUCUUCUAAAUUAAAGGAAAUGAUAGACAUGGAAACCCAAAAGGAUUCUCUCUUUGUUUCCUAGGGAGAGCUAUCCAAUUUGUUCUGUAAAACCACAUAUUAAAAAGAGAUAAAGAAAUAUAUCAGUAAAUGGAUGGAUCAAUUGAUGACAUAGAGCGAGGGAGAGUCGAUGCCUUUAUUUGUGAUUUAUACUCCUAGUAGAGAGAUGGCACUUCCCAAAUUUGUAAAAUAUGCUUGUACUAUCAGUUGUAUGAGCUAAUCCUCUUUGAUAGCCGUUUCUUUUUUACGGUAAUUUAUGCAAGCAUGCAAUUAGGUUUUAGUAUCUAAGGGUUUGUUUGGUACUGUUUUUCUUUCUUGUUUCUGUAUUUUUAAACAGAUUUACGGAAUCCAAUGCAGAAAAUAUGUUUGGUUAUAAUGUUUCUGUUGUUUUCUUAAACAACUUAAAUUAUUAUUUCUGGAAAAAGUGAGAGUCAAAAAUUUUUACUUCCAGUUUUUCAGAAGUGUAUUUUUACCCUUCUCCUCUCAAUCCCUCUUCCUCCGCCCAAUCUUGCCCUCAGCCCCAUCACCCCCGCCCAACCACAUUGGCUCCUUGGGCCUCGCCAGCCAUCUCUCCACACAAUGCCGAGCUAUCCCUUGUCCCUGACUGUCAUUGUGAAAAAAAAGGGGGCGGACCAAACAUGUUUUCUGUUUUCAAAUAUCUGGAAAAACUAAAAACAGAAUUCCUGUUUCCAGAUUUUUUUUAAAAAAGAAAAGUGACAGCGAUGCCAAAUGUAGCCUAAGUUAUUUUAUAUUUUUUUAUCAUCAUUCCACCCA